GAAUCUGCCCUCAGGAGGGAGAUAACGGUUGGAAACGACCGCUAAUACCCCAUAUGCCGAGAGGUGAAAUGAAUUUCGCCUGAGGAUGAGCCCGCGUCUGAUUAGCUUGUUGGUGAGGUAAUGGCUCACCAAGGCAUCGAUCAGUAGCUGGUCUGAGAGGAUGAUCAGCCACACUGGGACUGAGACACGGCCCAGACUCCUACGGGAGGCAGCAGUGGGGAAUUUUCCGCAAUGGGCGAAAGCCUGACGGAGCAACGCCGCGUGAGGGACGAAGGCCUCUGGGCUGUAAACCUCUUUUCUCAAGGAAGAAGAUAUGACGGUACUUGAGGAAUAAGCCACGGCUAAUUCCGUGCCAGCAGCCGCGGUAAUACGGGAGUGGCAAGCGUUAUCCGGAAUUAUUGGGCGUAAAGCGUCCGCAGGCGGCCUUUCAAGUCUGCUGUUAAAGCGUGGAGCUUAACUCCAUCAUGGCAGUGGAAACUGAUUGGCUUGAGUAUGGUAGGGGCAGAGGGAAUUCCCGGUGUAGCGGUGAAAUGCGUAGAUAUCGGGAAGAACACCAGUGGCGAAGGCGCUCUGCUGGGCCAUUACUGACGCUCAUGGACGAAAGCCAGGGGAGCGAAAGGGAUUAGAUACCCCUGUAGUCCUGGCCGUAAACGAUGAACACUAGGUGUCGGGGGAAUCGACCCCCUCGGUGUCGUAGCCAACGCGUUAAGUGUUCCGCCUGGGGAGUACGCACGCAAGUGUGAAACUCAAAGGAAUUGACGGGGGCCCGCACAAGCGGUGGAGUAUGUGGUUUAAUUCGAUGCAACGCGAAGAACCUUACCAGGGUUUGACAUCCUGCGAAUCUCUUGGAAACAGGAGAGUGCCUUCGGGAACGCAGUGACAGGUGGUGCAUGGCUGUCGUCAGCUCGUGUCGUGAGAUGUUGGGUUAAGUCCCGCAACGAGCGCAACCCACGCCUUUAGUUGCCAGCAUUUAGUUGGGCACUCUAGAGAGACUGCCGGUGAUAAACCGGAGGAAGGUGUGGAUGACGUCAAGUCAUCAUGCCCCUUACAUCCUGGGCUACACACGUACUACAAUGCUACGGACAAAGGGCAGCAAGUUCGCGAGGACAAGCAAAUCCCAUAAACCGUGGCUCAGUUCAGAUCGUAG
Molecule: ribosomal RNA, 1147 nt
Filed under: uncultured Prochlorococcus sp.
Lineage: Bacteria; Bacillati; Cyanobacteriota; Cyanophyceae; Synechococcales; Prochlorococcaceae
Description: bacterial SSU rRNA
Rfam family: Bacterial small subunit ribosomal RNA
Source: RNAcentral